Molecule: ribosomal RNA, 429 nt
Filed under: Gemmatimonadota bacterium
Lineage: Bacteria; Pseudomonadati; Gemmatimonadota
Description: Gemmatimonadetes bacterium partial 16S ribosomal RNA
Rfam family: Bacterial small subunit ribosomal RNA
Source: RNAcentral
UAGGGAAUCUUCGGCAAUGGACGAAAGUCUGACCGAGCAACGCCGCGUGAGUGAAGAAGGUUUUCGGAUCGUAAAACUCUGUUGUUAGAGAAGAACAAGGACGUUAGUAACUGAACGUCCCCUGACGGUAUCUAACCAGAAAGCCACGGCUAACUACGUGCCAGCAGCCGCGGUAAUACGUAGGUGGCAAGCGUUGUCCGGAUUUAUUGGGCGUAAAGCGAGCGCAGGCGGUUUCUUAAGUCUGAUGUGAAAGCCCCCGGCUCAACCGGGGAGGGUCAUUGGAAACUGGGAUACUUGAGUGCAGAAGAGGAGAGUGGAAUCCCAUGUGUAGCGGUGAAAUGCGUAGAUAUAUGGAGGAACACCAGUGGCGAAGGCGGCUCUCUGGUCUGUAACUGACGCUGAGGCUCGAAAGCGUGGGGAGCAAACAGG